GCUGGCGGCGUGCCUAAUACAUGCAAGUCGAACGCUUCUUUCCUCCCGAGUGCUUGCACUCAAUUGGAAAGAGGAGUGGCGGACGGGUGAGUAACACGUGGGUAACCUACCCAUCAGAGGGGGAUAACACUUGGAAACAGGUGCUAAUACCGCAUAACAGUUUAUGUCGCAUGGCAUAAGAGUGAAAGGCGCUUUCGGGUGUCGCUGAUGGAUGGACCCGCGGUGCAUUAGCUAGUUGGUGAGGUAACGGCUCACCAAGGCCACGAUGCAUAGCCGACCUGAGAGGGUGAUCGGCCACACUGGGACUGAGACACGGCCCAGACUCCUACGGGAGGCAGCAGUAGGGAAUCUUCGGCAAUGGACGAAAGUCUGACCGAGCAACGCCGCGUGAGUGAAGAAGGUUUUCGGAUCGUAAAACUCUGUUGUUAGAGAAGAACAAGGACGUUAGUAACUGAACGUCCCCUGACGGUAUCUAACCAGAAAGCCACGGCUAACUACGUGCCAGCAGCCGCGGUAAUACGUAGGUGGCAAGCGUUGUCCGGAUUUAUUGGGCGUAAAGCGAGCGCAGGCGGUUUCUUAAGUCUGAUGUGAAAGCCCCCGGCUCAACCGGGGAGGGUCAUUGGAAACUGGGAGGCUUGAGUGCAGAAGAGGAGAGUGGAAUUCCAUGUGUAGCGGUGAAAUGCGUAGAUAUAUGGAGGAACACCAGUGGCGA
This 712-nucleotide ribosomal RNA is filed under the name uncultured Bacilli bacterium. RNAcentral's name for it is "bacterial SSU rRNA". It matches the Rfam family "Bacterial small subunit ribosomal RNA", at positions 35 to 718 of the family's 1533-position model. Lineage: Bacteria; Bacillati; Bacillota; Bacilli. The record is from RNAcentral.